RNAcentral lists this ribosomal RNA (229 nucleotides) under uncultured bacterium. Its description in RNAcentral is "partial 16S ribosomal RNA". It matches the Rfam family "Bacterial small subunit ribosomal RNA", at positions 568 to 796 of the family's 1533-position model. The record is from RNAcentral.
CGCGUAGGCGGUCUCUUAAGUCAGAUGUGAAAGCCCGGGGCUCAACCCUGGAAGUGCAUUUGAAACUAAGGGACUUGAGUAUGGGAGAGGGAAGUGGAAUUCCUGGUGUAGCGGUGAAAUGCGUAGAUAUCAGGAGGAACACCGGUGGCGAUGGCGACUUCCUGGACCAAUACUGACGCUGAGGCGCGAAGGCGUGGGGAGCAAACAGGAUUAGAUACCCUGGUAGUCC